RNAcentral lists this ribosomal RNA (440 nucleotides) under uncultured bacterium. RNAcentral describes it as "partial 16S ribosomal RNA". It matches the Rfam family "Bacterial small subunit ribosomal RNA", at positions 338 to 795 of the family's 1533-position model. The record is from RNAcentral.
CCUACGGGUGGCUGCAGUGGGGAAUAUUGCACAAUGGGGGAAACCCUGAUGCAGCGACGCCGCGUGAGUGAAGAAGUAUUUCGGUAUGUAAAGCUCUAUCAGCAGGGCAGAAAAUGACGGUACCUGAUUAAGAAGCCCCGGCUAACUACGUGCCAGCAGCCGCGGUAAUACGUAGGGGGCAAGCGUUAUCCGGAUUUACUGGGUGUAAAGGGAGCGUAGACGGCAGCGCAAGUCUGAAGUGAAAUGCCGGGGCUUAACCCCGGAACUGCUUUGGAAACUGUGCAGCUAGAGUGCAGGAGAGGUAAGUGGAAUUCCUAGUGUAGCGGUGAAAUGCAUAGAUAUCACGCAGAACUCCGAUUGCGAAGGCAGCAUACCGGCGCGCAACUGACGCUCAUGCACGAAAGCGUGGGUAUCGAACAGGAUUAGAUACCCGAGUAGUC